RNAcentral lists this long non-coding RNA (2229 nucleotides) under Salmo salar (Atlantic salmon). Its description in RNAcentral is "lncRNA (ENSSSAG00000118323.1)". The record is from RNAcentral. Lineage: Eukaryota; Metazoa; Chordata; Actinopteri; Salmoniformes; Salmonidae.
AAAUUGUAUUCUGUCUUUCUGUGUAUCUCAGACCUUACAGCAGACCUUACGUCACCCUCCAAACUCACAACGUGAAUGAUAUUCAUAGUGUCACUGUGUGAUUGAAGGGGACGACAGAGGAUUGUUCUAAAAUACCAACAACAUAUUGUGUGUGUGAAGGUGGGUUGCUGGGUAGAUUCCCCCAGUUAGAGUCAUUGUUGUCUAACACAGUGACCUUUAGUUGACUGUGUGUGUGUGUGUGUGUGUGUGUGUGUGUGUGUGUGUGUGUGUGUGUGUGUGUGUGUGUGUGUGUGUGUGUGUGUGUGUGUGUGUGUGUGUGUGUGUGUGUGUGUGUGUGUGUGUGUGUUAAUGCCUAGGGUCCUUUUAUUCCCCAGCCAUCAUGGUGGCAUCCCAAAUGGCACCAUGCUCCCUUAUUUAGUCCACUACCUUGACCAGAGCCCGCAGGGAACAGCGUUGCAAUUGGGACUCAGAUCAUGUGAUCGCUGCUAUCUGUCCAGGAGCCGCCACAGGGGGCCUCCAUCCUCAGGGAACAAGACAGAGGAGGAAGUCCAGAUGUGUGAAAGCCCCAGAGCGGUGUGUCACACUGGGCCUAGUCUGACACGACCUCCCCCUAGGACAGAGCACCAGUCACCAGUCUGCCCAGUCCACUACACUGGGGGUUGUGAGGAGAGGACGGUUGCUCCUUUCGUUGCUCUGCUGAGGGUAUGUUAAACAGUGCUAAUUUCCUAAAUGAAUGGAGUGUCAAGCUUCCACUAAAUGCUGAUGUAGUCUGUCACCAUGUAGACAAGAGGAAAGGAAAGUGAUGUAGUCUGUCACCAUGUAGACAAGAGGAAAGGGAAGUGAUGUAGUCUGUCACCAUGUUGACAAGAGGAAAGGGAAGUGAUGUAGUCUGUCACCAUGUAGACUAGAGGAAAGGGAAGUGAUGUAGUCUGUCACCAUGUAGACUAGAGGAAAGGGAAGUGACGUAGUCUGUCACCAUGUAGACAAGAGGAAAGGGAAGUGAUGUAGUCUGUCACCAUGUAGACUAGAGGAAAGGGAAGUGACGUAGUCUGUCACCAUGUAGACAAGAGGAAAGGGAAGUGAUGUAGUCUGUCACCAUGUAGACAAGAGGAAAGGGAAGUGAUGUAGUCUGUCACCAUGUAGACAAGAGGAAAGGGAAGUGAUGUAGUCUGUCACCAUGUAGACAAGAGGAAAGGGAAGUGAUGUAGUCUGUCACCACGUAGACAAGAGGAAAGGGAAGUGAUGUAGUCUGUCACCAUGUAGACAAGAGGAAAGGGAAGUGACGUAGUCUGUCACCAUGUAGACAAGAGGAAAGGGAAGUGAUGUAGUCUGUCACCACGUAGACAAGAGGAAAGGGAAGUGAUGUGUCUGUCACCAUGUAGACAAGAGGAAAGGCAAGUCAUGUAGUCUGUCACCAUGUAGACAAGAGGAAAGGGAAGUCAUGUAGUCUGUCACCAUGUAGACAAGAGGAUACUCAGCCACUCUUGGAAAUUGAUCCAGUAGCUUGUUCAUGACUAAAACCAAUGCGUUCCGGCCUGUAGCCGUCAUCAGGGUUAGGAAAGGACAGAGAAGGCUAAAGAUCUCAACACAAUGGACGGUUCAGACAGAGGGCUCUGAAGACUCACAUGCUCUAUCUAGGUUAGCUAUUGCCUGAUUGUGUUCAUGAGACUGUUAUUAAAGAUUAUGAAACAAUUUUGUGUUUUUUAACUAUUGCCUGAUUGUGUUCAUGAUUCUGUUAUUUAAUGUAUAUGCUUACUGAUUUUCAUAAAAUUUGUAUGGCAACAAAUAUUACAUAUACGUUCUUUCAAUUGGGCAGAAUAUCAUAGCCUGGGCCUAUAUACAUUUGUUCGUAUGGGCAGAAUAUUGUAGCCUUGUCCUAUUUACAUUCCUUCAUAUGGGCAGAAUAUUGUAGCCUGGGCCUAUAUACAUUUGUUCGUAUGGGCAGAAUAUUGUAGCCUGGGACUAUAUACAUUUGUUCAUAUGGUUAUAUAAAGGCUGAAGACUAAAAACAGCCAAUAACUACUUUCUAGAAUGUAUUUUCAUUUUAAAGAAUGUAUUUUCAUUUAUCUAGUUUUUACACCGUCCAUUAACACCAACCAUUCACUAUAAAAAUUGUAUACAUCAUUUUUUUUUUAAAGACAAUGAUGUGGAAAAAAUAAGUCUAAAACAAUUAUUUAAAAAAAUGUGGUAGAGGGGUCCAUGGUGGUAGAGGGGUCCAUGAUGGUAGAG